UGAAAAAAAAGUGCAUACCUGUUCAAUGCGAUCUCUUCUUCUUUUCAGUGUUUUUGCCGACUCUUCCUCGCGUCUAAAUGCCUGGACUGCAAGGCCAAGAGCUGAAAACAUGGCCAGCAAAAAGGGAACCCUUAGAGAUCUUGGUGAAAACAGGACAGGAAGGAAGCAAAGAAAUCCGGUAUAUAUGACAUGCACCGAUUUCUGUGAGAUAGCUGAAAGUAAACUUCAAAAAUCAUGGCGAAAUAGCCUGGCAAUUUUAAGUCCAUACCCAGGUUUGGCCGAAUGGAGUCCUCGGUAAUUGGCUGACCACAUUUACCACAAGCUUUCUGCAUAGCAGGACAAAAACAAUUCUCUGUUACUUUCACAUGCACUUGAAGCUUCAUAAAAUCCUUCUGUUAGUAGGGUUGCAAUAUCACGUUGACCACCUUCCAGGAUUGUCUCAAAUUAAUGUUCUACCUAGAAAAUCAAAGCUUGCCUAAUGUGGUUACCCAUGCUGACAGAGCAAAUGGAUAACUAUGAAAUACCUCUAGUUUCUGUUUGGACAACACAAUCUAUAAAUGGAAAAAAUAAAUGCAGUUGGAGAACUUUAUUUAUGAUAACUAAGAAAUACCUCUAGUUUUAUUAUAUUGAGUGCACAUCUUAUAUCUUUUCACCUAAAAGUAGUUGGGGAAUGCGGAGGCCCUGACAGUAGAGUGCACUCCAUUUAUUCUAGAACAGUAGGACAUGUGUAAUCGAUGCUUUACCUUGAAAGCAAAGUAUGCCUAAUGUGGUUACCCAAGCUGAGAGCAAAUGGAUAACCACGAAACACUUCUAGUUUCACUUAGGACAACACAAUACAUAAAUGGAAAUGAGAGUUUCAUUCUAUUGAAUGCACAUCCGCAUAUUGUUUUCACCAAAAAAUUGUUGGUGGAUGAGGAGGCCCCUACAGUAGAGUGCAGUCCUAUUAUUUCAAGAACAGUAACACAUGUGUAAAAGGAAAACACUGUGCUUCAAAAGCACAUCAAGUCAAUUAGUAUUUCAAAAAGAAGGAGCUAUGAUUAAAGGCAAUCCUAACAUUAAAACGAAGAGAUGUAGCAACAAGCAGGAGGAUACAGGAUAUCUAACUGCAAACUACACUGUAACAAACUAAGGAAAAAGUUUGGAAAACUAUUACACAGCAAGGGUCGUUGGACAAACCAUUCUGUAGAUAUGCUGCAUCCCACUACUUCCAUAAGAAUGCCCACAUGACAAAAUCAUUGCGUCGUCCAUGAGAAUACCUCUACAAAUUCAGACACAGGAAUAUAAAUGGAUGAGAUACUAGAUUCUUUCCCCCCAGAUAUCAUGUUCAUUAUUACCGCUACCAGACAUGAUAUUUGGUGUUCGACAAAUUCAGUGACAUUUUGCAUUUAUAUGAACUGGUGGGAAAAUACCAAAAGCCUACAAAGCGGAUAGAGCCGUAAAGGAAUGGUUGAAAGUAUGUUCAAUAUCAAUAUUGGAAGUUUGCAUACAGUCAACAAAGAAGGUGAAACAGCUAACUAAACACCUAGCAUCAAGCAAAAACUAAAUUCUCAAGAGGAUAGCAGUCAUCUGCGGAGUCUACUCACGUCAACGGGUCGGACAGGUGUGCUCUGAGCAGGUCCCAGUAGCUAGACGCAGGGCCUCCCUCUCUUCUCCCAAUGACCCCAUACCCAUCCUCCACCCUCAUCUCCCUGGGAACAGAGCCAGGCUCUUCAUCCCCUCGAGACGAAGCGCAGCCGUGUUGCUCGGUUCCGUGGUUGUACAGCUGCCAUUGCUGCCCCUCUUGUAUCUGCCUCACCCCAUUCUCCCCAUUCGUGACAGGCCGCCCAAUUCCUGCUGCGUGAGCCAGCAAGCAAGCAACAGUGUCAGUGAUCACCUUCAUUCAGAUAAAUCAGAUGAUACACACGCAAAAAUCCUAAAUGGAGAUAUUUCGCUGCUUGGAGGGAGAUCAUGUUCAUAUGGAGAUAUAUCUUAGCUUCAGAUUUCUCACAAAUUCAGCUCAUCUCGUACUACCAGAAGCUGCAUAGUAGUAGUACUAGCAAUUUACAGGAGCAAGUUGGGUUGACUCACCUGGAGAGGAGUCGCGUCGCUGCAGCGAGCUGCGGGCCGCCAGCUCGGCAUCCUGAUCCUCCUCCUCAUCGUCGUCGUCGUCGUCGUCGUCUUCGUCGAACUCGUCCAUGGAGGCGCCGCCGUCGGAGUCGCCGCCGGGAGGGUGGUGGUGCCGGAGGAAAGGGACGGCGUCGCGGGCCGCGCCGGGGAAGGGCGAGAGCGGCCCCCUCGACGAGGAGGAGAGCGCGCGGUUGGCAGACCCCGGGCCCGGAGGAGACGCCAUGGCGGCCGCGGAGCGCUCGGCGGGGUGGGGAGGGGUGCGGCCGUGCGGGGGAAGGUUUGCUGACCGGGACUGCAGUGCGCUGUGUGCUGGUAGAGUGGUAGCAUCACCUCACCUGUGCUAGUUUCGUUUUCAAAAAUGCUGAAAUAAUUUCACACAGAAUUUGUAAAAGACACUAGUGAUUUGAAAUAACUUGAGUUUGGACAUCUUUGUAUUGUAUAAGGUUCAAAAAUGCUUCAAUUUUUUUUGAGAGUUUUUAACUAAAUUUUGAGAGUUAGUGUCAAAAACGCUCUUAUACUAUGGUACGGAGGGAGUAUUUCUUAGUCCACUGGGAUUGACAAUUCAUGGGCAUUUAUUCGUUUAUAUCCAACAAAUAUCAACUACUGCAAAAAUUACAGAUUCUGAGUAACUUUCUGUUCAGGGAAGAAAUUGUGAGUAACUUGGUCAACCUACAAAUUGGUAUAUUUUUUGUCAAGUUUGAAAAUCCCAACAAUGUAAUCAUUAAAAUGUUAGCUCAAGAGUCAGUGAUCAGUAACCAUCUCCGAGAUCCAUUGAUCAAUCCCUAUCAAGUCUGUUUGGAUCACAGGAUUGGCAAAGGGCAAAACUGAAAACAAGAGGGGAUUGGAUUGAGCUCAAUGGCAGCAUACAAAAGUUUAUGGUAGAGCAGCCGCCAGCUAUACAUCACAUAGCUUGCACAAGUUGCAUUUCAUCCUUUUUCGUCCGUAUCAUCAAAACACAAAACAAGCAAACUAAACCCUAGGCUAAACAAGAUCCCUCUUCUUGUAUCAUCAUCCCCACCACUGUAUCAUCAUUAACCUAGGCUAACACCUUUACAGCACCAAGGAAAAACGUCUCAGGGGCAUGAUCGGCGGGCGC
RNAcentral lists this long non-coding RNA (3202 nucleotides) under Triticum aestivum (bread wheat). Its description in RNAcentral is "long non-coding RNA (TAES_LNC006369)". Lineage: Eukaryota; Viridiplantae; Streptophyta; Magnoliopsida; Poales; Poaceae. The record is from RNAcentral.